GACGAACGCUGGCGGCGUGCUUAACACAUGCAAGUCGAACGGACAGGCCCUGCUUUUGUUUGGUGCUCGUUUGGCGAACGGGUGAGUAACACGUGAGUAACCUGCCCUUGUCUUUGUGAUAACUUCAGGGAACUGGGGCUAAUACCGGAUAGGAGCUCCUGCUCCAUGUUGUGCGUUGGAAAGUUUCGGCGGUUGGGGAUGGACUCGCGGCUUAUCAGCUUGUUUGUGAGGUAGUGGCUUACCAAGGCUUUGACGGGUAGCCGGCCUGAGAGGGUGACCGGCGACAUUGGGACUGAGAUACGGAGCAGAAUGGUACGGGAGGCAGCAGUCGGGAGUAUUGCAGAACGGGCGGAAGCCUGAUGCAGAAACGCCGCGUGCGGGAUGACGGCCUUCGGGUUGUAAACAGAUUUCGAAUGUGACGAAGCGAGAGUGACGGUAAUGGGUAAAGAAGCAACGGCUAACUACGUG
This 468-nucleotide ribosomal RNA is filed under the name uncultured bacterium. Its description in RNAcentral is "partial 16S ribosomal RNA". It matches the Rfam family "Bacterial small subunit ribosomal RNA", at positions 28 to 507 of the family's 1533-position model. The record is from RNAcentral.